AUAGGGGAGCCGGAGGGAAACCGAGUCUUAAUUGGGCGUUAAGUUGCAGGGUAUAGACCCGAAACCCGGUGAUCUAGCCAUGGGCAGGUUGAAGGUUGGGUAACACUAACUGGAGGACCGAACCGACUAAUGUUGAAAAAUUAGCGGAUGACCUGUGGCUGGGGGUGAAAGGCCAAUCAAACCGGGAGAUAGCUGGUUCUCCCCGAAAGCUAUUUAGGUAGCGCCUCGUGAAUUCAUCUCCGGGGGUAGAGCACUGUUUCGGCUAGGGGGCCAUCCCGGCUUACCAACCCGAUGCAAACUGCGAAUACCGGAGAAUGUUAUCACGGGAGACACACGGCGGGUGCUAACGUCCGUCGUGAAGAGGGAAACAACCCAGACCGCCAGCUAAGGUCCCAAAGUCAUGGUUAAGUGGGAAACGAUGUGGGAAGGCCCAGACAGCCAGGAUGUUGGCUUAGAAGCAGCCAUCAUUUAAAGAAAGCGUAAUAGCUCACUGGUCGAGUCGGCCUGCGCGGAAGAUGUAACGGGGCUAAACCAUGCACCGAAGCUGCGGCAGCGAACGUAUCACUUAAAGCGAUUCAGCGGGUUACGAUUGACGGAGCGAAGCGACGUCAAAGCGUAUACAAAGUCGAGUCGGUUUAAGGAUACGUUCGUUGGGUAGGGGAGCGUUCUGUAAGCCUGUGAAGGUGUGUCGUGAGGC
RNAcentral lists this ribosomal RNA (697 nucleotides) under Salmonella enterica subsp. enterica serovar Infantis. RNAcentral describes it as "partial 23S ribosomal RNA". It matches the Rfam family "Bacterial large subunit ribosomal RNA", at positions 657 to 1269 of the family's 2925-position model. Lineage: Bacteria; Pseudomonadati; Pseudomonadota; Gammaproteobacteria; Enterobacterales; Enterobacteriaceae. The record is from RNAcentral.